Molecule: transfer RNA, 61 nt
Filed under: Jesogammarus hinumensis
Lineage: Eukaryota; Metazoa; Arthropoda; Malacostraca; Amphipoda; Anisogammaridae
Description: tRNA-Met
Source: RNAcentral
UGAAAGAUAAGCUAAUCUAAGCUGACGGGCUCAUAUCCCGUUUAUGAGUUAUCUCUUUCAA